AGCCUGAUGCAGCCUGCCGCGUGUGUGAAGAAGGCUUCGGGUUGUAAAGCACUCAGGGGGAAGGCGUGGUGGUUAAUACCCACCACGUUUGAGUUAGCUGCAGAAGAAGCACCGGCUAACUCCGUGCCAGCAGCCGCGGUAAUACGGAGGGUGCGAGCGUUAAUCGGAAUUACUGGGCGUAAAGCGCAUGCAGGCGGUUUGUUAAGCAAGAUGUGAAAGCCCCGGGCUCAACCUGGGAACCGCAUUUUGAACUGGCAGGCUAGAGUCUUGUAGAGGGGGGUAGAAUUUCAGGUGUAGCGGUGAAAUGCGUAGAGAUCUGAAGGAAUACCGGUGGCGAAGGCGGCCCCCUGGACAAAGACUGACGCUCAGAUGCGAAAGCGUGGGGAGCAAACAGGAUUAGAUCUGGUAGUCCACGCUGUAAACGAUGUCCUUGUUGCGGUCUUGAACUGUGGCUUCGGAGCUAACGCGUUAAGUAGACCGCCUG
This 484-nucleotide ribosomal RNA is filed under the name Vibrio sp. 3T3,2 14. RNAcentral describes it as "bacterial SSU rRNA". It matches the Rfam family "Bacterial small subunit ribosomal RNA", at positions 380 to 875 of the family's 1533-position model. Lineage: Bacteria; Pseudomonadati; Pseudomonadota; Gammaproteobacteria; Vibrionales; Vibrionaceae. The record is from RNAcentral.